Molecule: ribosomal RNA, 373 nt
Filed under: uncultured organism
Description: bacterial SSU rRNA
Rfam family: Bacterial small subunit ribosomal RNA
Source: RNAcentral
CGAGAGGGGGCAAGCGUUAUUCGGAAUUAUUGGGCGUAAAGGGCGCGUAGGCGGCUUGGCAAGUGGAAGGUGAAAUCCCUCGGCUUAACCGAGGAACUGCCCUCCAAACUGCUUUGCUUGAGGCCGGGAGAGGUGAGUGGAAUUCCCAGUGUAGCGGUGAAAUGCGUAGAUAUUGGGAGGAACACCAGUGGCGAAGGCGGCUCACUGGACCGGUUCUGACGCUGAUGCGCGAAAGCGUGGGGAGCAAACGGGAUUAGAUACCCCGGUAGUCCACGCCGUAAACGAUGAGUGCUUGGUGUAGCGGGUAUCGACCCCUGCUGUGCCGAAGUCAACACAUUAAGCACUCCGCCUGGGGAGUACGGUCGCAAGGCUG